GCAGCUGAGUCCUCAACACAUCCAGAGCUGGUACAGCCUUCAGAGUUGUCCCUAGUUGAGGGAAGAAGAACCAGCUAUUUACGUCCCUCCAUCCGCAGUCUUAGUGGGGGACCAUCUUAUGAAGGGGUAAUCUUAGACAUGACAUCUUCUAUGGCUUAGAGCAGGGGUCUUGUGGGCCUCACUGUCUCUGUCACAACUACUUCAAUCUGCUGAUGUAGAGCAAAAGCAGCCAUAGACAAUAUGUAAACAAAGGGCAUAGCUGCGUUCCAAUGAAACUUUAUGCGCUAAAACAGGUAGCCAACUCGUGGGCCAUAGUCUGCUAACCCAAGGCCUAGAGUUAUUCUCACUGAGAGGCACAGCUCUGAGACAUCAGCAGUUGAUAUUCCCGGAAGCUGGGGGAUGAGUUCUUAACCCUCAAUUGCAGGUUUGGGCAGAGCACCAUAGGUGCGCUGCAGUUCCCGCCUCGCACGUUUCGGAUCUACAUGCUUCUUAUGGUAGAGUGAUUUAUCCGACUAGGAAUAGGAGAGGAAAAGGACACCGUAGACCACCCCCUUGCUCUCUCCAUUCUCUUGUGAAUAAGCUGCCUGAAGGGAACAUAUGUCCUUUUCAGUGCUGUAUGUGAGAAUUCAGCACUCUCUCUGCCUGCGUAGGAGAUUAUUGCUGAGAAAGCUGAAAUUUUCAACAGAAAUUCCGGGAAGCCAGAAGUCUCUGGUGGAUCUUUCCUCCUUUCCUUCUCAAUGGAGACAUUUAUACAUUGACAUUGGCACCGGCAAGCUGUCAUGGAAAAGAGCACAAUCUGGAAUCAAACAUCGAUGCUGAGUUCCCCAGGCAAUCAGGCACAUUGAAUCCAAAGUCCCUCCGAGGACACAGGAUACCUGGAGUUUUUUUCCUUUGGUACAACAUGGAAGGAAGAGGCAGCCACAAUAAAAAGCAAUUACUCUUGCAGAAAUGGGCGGCGGCAAGCUUGCAAGCAGUGAAACCAGCCUGCAGUCUAAGAGGGAUAAUGGAGUAAGGCACAAUGGGGAAAGACAUGAGGAGACAAAUCCAAGAGGAAGAAAAAGGCAAAAUGUGAAGGAUUUGGGGACUAAUUAAAUAUCCAGUGAGAGUUGUAUUUAAUUUUUCCCUUUCCCCCAGGAAGAAAAACAGGAAAAGCCGCCAAUGGGCAACUCUCAGAAGAGGAAAUGCAAAUGAAUAUUAAUUAAAUUUAUUUAUUAUAUUUAACUUUACUUUGAAAAAUAACACAGGGAAAUUAAAACAAGGCACCAGUUUUGUCAGCUAUGAGAGUUUGGCAAGUACUAGAUUCUGGUCAAACCUCAACUUGCACAUGAGGGUAUAAAGGUAGGAAAUGGAAAAUAUCUGUGCUGAUAAGUAAACAUGACCCCUUAAGUUACGUAUAAAAGAUAGAUAACGCUGGCUACACCUACCACUGAACAAGCGUUUAGUACGUGCUAAAUUUGAGAUUAACUGCAACACUCAGGCUCUAGAGCCUGCCUCAUCUAGAGACAAGUUGGACUGAAACUAUGAUGCUAUUGAAGAGAAAUAACUUCUGAAUCAUUUGAGGCCUCUAGGGGAAAUUUCAAACUUAUCCUCGAAUGGACUUCAGAAGGACAAUUUGGGACAUGAGUACCUGAAGUAUUACCCCUGGGG
This is a long non-coding RNA of Equus caballus (horse), 1647 nucleotides long. The record is from Ensembl. Lineage: Eukaryota; Metazoa; Chordata; Mammalia; Perissodactyla; Equidae.